This 2888-nucleotide ribosomal RNA is filed under the name Listeria monocytogenes. RNAcentral describes it as "partial 23S ribosomal RNA". It matches the Rfam family "Bacterial large subunit ribosomal RNA". Lineage: Bacteria; Bacillati; Bacillota; Bacilli; Caryophanales; Listeriaceae. The record is from RNAcentral.
AGGAGCCGAAGAAGGACGGGACUAACACCGAUAUGCUUUGGGGAGCUGUACGUAAGCGUUGAUCCAGAGAUUUCCGAAUGGGGGAACCCACUAUCUUUAGUCGGAUAGUAUCCUUACGUGAAUACAUAGCGUGAGGAAGGCAGACCCAGGGAACUGAAACAUCUAAGUACCUGGAGGAAGAGAAAGAAAAAUCGAUUUCCUGAGUAGCGGCGAGCGAAACGGAAAGAGCCCAAACCAAGAAGCUUGCUUCUUGGGGUUGUAGGACACUCUAUACGGAGUUACAAAAGAAAGUUAUAAAUGAAGCGGUCUGGAAAGGCCCGCCAAAGACGGUAACAGCCCGGUAGUUGAAAUGGCUUUCCCUCCAGAGUGGAUCCUGAGUACGGCGGAACACGUGAAAUUCCGUCGGAAUCCGGGAGGACCAUCUCCCAAGGCUAAAUACUCCCUAGUGACCGAUAGUGAACCAGUACCGUGAGGGAAAGGUGAAAAGCACCCCGGAAGGGGAGUGAAACAGUUCCUGAAACCGUGUGCCUACAAGUAGUUAGAGCCCGUUAAUGGGUGAUAGCGUGCCUUUUGUAGAAUGAACCGGCGAGUUACGAUUUGUUGCAAGGUUAAGCGGAAAAAGCGGAGCCGUAGCGAAAGCGAGUCUGAAUAGGGCGCAUAAGUAACAGGUCGUAGACCCGAAACCAGGUGAUCUACCCAUGUCCAGGAUGAAGGUAAGGUAAUACUUACUGGAGGUCCGAACCCACGCACGUUGAAAAGUGCGGGGAUGAGGUGUGGGUAGCGGAGAAAUUCCAAUCGAACUUGGAGAUAGCUGGUUCUCUCCGAAAUAGCUUUAGGGCUAGCCUCGAGGUAAAGAGUCAUGGAGGUAGAGCACUGUUUGGACUAGGGGCCCUUCUCGGGUUACCGAAUUCAGAUAAACUCCGAAUGCCAUGUACUUAUACUCGGGAGUCAGACUGCGAGUGAUAAGAUCCGUAGUCGAAAGGGAAACAGCCCAGACCACCAGUUAAGGUCCCCAAAUAUAUGUUAAGUGGAAAAGGAUGUGGGGUUGCUUAGACAACCAGGAUGUUGGCUUAGAAGCAGCCACCAUUGAAAGAGUGCGUAAUAGCUCACUGGUCGAGUGACCCCGCGCCGAAAAUGUACCGGGGCUAAACAUAUUACCGAAACUGUGGAUGAACCUCUUUAGAGGUUCGUGGUAGGAGAGCGUUCUAAGGGCGGUGAAGUCAGACCGGAAGGACUGGUGGAGCGCUUAGAAGUGAGAAUGCCGGUAUGAGUAGCGAAAGAAGGGUGAGAAUCCCUUCCACCGAAUAUCUAAGGUUUCCUGAGGAAGGCUCGUCCGCUCAGGGUUAGUCGGGACCUAAGCCGAGGCCGAUAGGCGUAGGCGAUGGACAACAGGUAGAGAUUCCUGUACCAGUGCUAAUUGUUUAACCGAUGGGGUGACACAGAAGGAUAGGGAAUCGCACGAAUGGAAAUGUGCGUCCAAGCAGUGAGUGUGAGAAGUAGGCAAAUCCGCUUCUCGCGAAGCAUGAGCUGUGAUGGGGAAGGAAAUUAAGUACGGAAGUUCCUGAUUUCACGCUGUCAAGAAAAGCCUCUAGGAAGAGUAGUACUGCCCGUACCGCAAACCGACACAGGUAGAUGAGGAGAGAAUCCUAAGGUGAGCGAGAGAACUCUCGUUAAGGAACUCGGCAAAAUGACCCCGUAACUUCGGGAGAAGGGGUGCUCUAUUAGGGUGCAAGCCCGAGAGAGCCGCAGUGAAUAGGCCCAGGCGACUGUUUAGCAAAAACACAGGUCUCUGCAAAACCGUAAGGUGACGUAUAGGGGCUGACGCCUGCCCGGUGCUGGAAGGUUAAGAGGAGUGCUUAGCUUCGGCGAAGGUACGAAUUGAAGCCCCAGUAAACGGCGGCCGUAACUAUAACGGUCCUAAGGUAGCGAAAUUCCUUGUCGGGUAAGUUCCGACCCGCACGAAAGGCGCAACGAUCUGGGCACUGUCUCAACGAGAGACUCGGUGAAAUUAUAGUACCUGUGAAGAUGCAGGUUACCCGCGACAGGACGGAAAGACCCCGUGGAGCUUUACUGCAACCUGAUAUGGAAUGUUUGUACCGCUUGUACAGGAUAGGUAGGAGCCGAAGAGACGUGUGCGCUAGCAUACGAGGAGGCAAUGGUGGGAUACUACCCUGGCUGUAUGACCAUUCUAACCCGCCACGCUUAGCGCGUGGGGAGACAGUGUCAGGUGGGCAGUUUGACUGGGGCGGUCGCCUCCUAAAGAGUAACGGAGGCGCCCAAAGGUUCCCUCAGAAUGGAUGGAAAUCAUUCGCAGAGUGUAAAGGCACAAGGGAGCUUGACUGCGAGACUGACAAGUCGAGCAGGGACGAAAGUCGGGCUUAGUGAUCCGGUGGUUCCGCAUGGAAGGGCCAUCGCUCAACGGAUAAAAGCUACCCCGGGGAUAACAGGCUUAUCUCCCCCAAGAGUCCACAUCGACGGGGAGGUUUGGCACCUCGAUGUCGGCUCGUCGCAUCCUGGGGCUGUAGUCGGUCCCAAGGGUUGGGCUGUUCGCCCAUUAAAGCGGCACGCGAGCUGGGUUCAGAACGUCGUGAGACAGUUCGGUCCCUAUCCGUCGCGGGCGCAGGAAAUUUGAGAGGAGCUGUCCUUAGUACGAGAGGACCGGGAUGGACACACCGCUGGUGUACCAGUUGUUCCGCCAGGAGCAUCGCUGGGUAGCUAUGUGUGGCAGGGAUAAACGCUGAAAGCAUCUAAGCGUGAAGCCCCCCUCAAGAUGAGAUUUCCCAUUUCUUCGGAAAGUAAGAUCCCUGAAAGAUGAUCAGGUAGAUAGGUUUGGAGUGGAAGUGUAGCGAUACAUGGAGCGGACAAAUACUAAUCGAUCGAGGACUUAA